Molecule: long non-coding RNA, 1914 nt
Organism: Lutra lutra (Eurasian river otter)
Lineage: Eukaryota; Metazoa; Chordata; Mammalia; Carnivora; Mustelidae
Exons: 3
Source: RefSeq, a predicted model, not a curated record
UAGAUGACUAUUUCGGUUGUUUCCAGUUUUUAGCUGCUAUGAACACUUGUUUACAAGUCUUUGUGAAAACAUAUGUUUUCACUUAUUUGGGGUAAAUACCUAAGAGUGGGAUUGCCGGGCCGUUUGGCAAGUAUAUAUAGAAGAUUUUUUGGAGCUGAGGGGAGUCUAAGAAUGUUGCUUGGGUGGCUUACACAGGGAGUAACAUAUCAAGGUGAUGGAUUUUAAGAAGAAUUAGCUCAUCUCCGGGGUCUGUCCUGCCUUCCAAGGCCUGAGGAGCUCUGGUAUUUUGAACCAAAUAUGCUUGCCAGAUACCAUGAAGAACACAUUCAUGCAUUCAGCACAUAUCGAGGGCCUGCUGAGUGCCAUGAGAGGAAGACAGGCCCCGUUCCCAUCCUUCAUAUGGAGUUUACAGUCUAGUGGGAGAGACAGGUACAUGAAAGUUCAACCUUCAGAUGAAAGUACCGUACUGAGGGUUAUUUUUUAAGUAAAACUCCACGGAAAGCGUCCGCCUGUGAACACAUGAAGAAGUAGAAGCUCCCCACAUCCAGCCCACAGGGUAAUAUCCAAAAUAUGCGUGUGUCACCCUUUGGCUCCCUGAGGUAAUGAAUCAGUGCAGACUCUGCAAAAGCAGCUGUAUUGAGCCUGCAAGUCACCUCGGCCACAGCCUUCAGAGUUGGAGGGAAGAAACUUCGAGAUUAAAGGGCAGCAUUUUCCCUCUGAAAUGAAAUAAUUGUGAUAUGGGAUUUGCUUUCCCCCCCCACGUUUUGAAGAAAAACAAUGUUCUUCCUGCUGUGAUGAAUUUAUUCAGGAGGUUUGAAAGGAAAGCCGAGUCCCAAGAGGAGGAGGACCCUGAGUCAAGAGGGUGAAGGCUGGGUUUUCAGCACAUGUGUUCUCAUUUAUCAAGGGGCGGUGCUCGGUGUGAAGGGGGAAAAUACCCAGGGUGAAAAGAUUCAAGGGGAUCAAAUUAUUUUUCCAUUUGUCUCAGAAGGAAAGGAAGAGAGGAAAUAAAAGAGGGAAGGAAAAUCAUUUCAUUAUGUGGUAAUCAAAUGCAACGUGGGCUGGUCAGCGAGUGGCAACUUUAUUUUUCAGAGAGGCUCACUCUAGGGUGUCCUGAACCUCCCAGGGUGAGGCUAUGACUGUGGAAUUUGAAAACAGCGGGAGCACAAGAACAGAAGUUGCAGGGAUGUCUACACUUGUCAUCUCUCACAUGACCUCUUGGCUACGGUCCUUCCUCGCCCCACCUGGAUGAAUCGGUUCGAGGGGGAAGAGGGAAAGGAAAACUGAGUUGAACAUUUACUACACGCGAGGCAUUGCGCAUGCGUUUUCUCCCCCACGAUAAACCUGCAAAGUAGACGCUAUUGUCCCUAGUAUAGAGGUGAGCAAAAAGUUUCAGUAUCUUGUGAGCCUUGUCCAAAGGGCCACUGCUAGGAAGACCUAUCCCCUAUCAGAGCCAAGCUCUUUUAGGUAUUCCUCACCGCCCUCCUGACAGGUGUCUCUGGCAUGGGAGCUGCCGGACUGAAGGUCACUUGGGCAUCACAAGAUAAAGGCCCAAAUGAUGUAACACAUCACGCUGCUGGUCAGUUGCUUUGCCUGCUUUAGGGCACAACUGUGGUGUGAAAAUCCCGGGUCCUGAAGCUAUUCAGUCUUCCUGAUCCUGCACCCUUCCCAUGAGCGCAGCACCCUAACAUAGGGAAUUCAGUCCCACAUCCCCCCAAGACCUUUCUCUCAGAUCCUCGCACAGAGCGAAGGCCACUUACGAAAUACCUGCUCGCUGCCACCUUCCAGAAUUCCUCAGGAAAGUCACAGUUGGGCUUCACCUUGACUGUGCACACUGGGCUCAGGAGAGAUGUACUAGGCUCCCCAGAGCUGUGGGGAAAGAGGGAUAGAGUGACCUAGAAGCUGAGGUUUUUGCAG